UCCGUAGGUGAACCUGCGGAGGGAUCAUUACUGAGUUUACGCUCUACAACCCUUUGUGAACAUACCUAUAACUGUUGCUUCGGCGGGUAGGGUCUCCGCGACCCUCCCGGCCUCCCGCCUCCGGGCGGGUCGGCGCCCGCCGGAGGAUAACCAAACUCUGAUUUAACGACGUUUCUUCUGAGUGGUACAAGCAAAUAAUCAAAACUUUUAACAACGGAUCUCUUGGUUCUGGCAUCGAUGAAGAACGCAGCGAAAUGCGAUAAGUAAUGUGAAUUGCAGAAUUCAGUGAAUCAUCGAAUCUUUGAACGCACAUUGCGCCCGCCAGCAUUCUGGCGGGCAUGCCUGUUCGAGCGUCAUUUCAACCCUCAAGCUCUGCUUGGUGUUGGGGCCCUACAGCUGAUGUAGGCCCUCAAAGGUAGUGGCGGACCCUCUCGGAGCCUCCUUUGCGUAGUAACUUUACGUCUCGCACUGGGAUCCGGAGGGACUCUUGCCGUAAAACCCCCAAUUUUCCAAAGGUUGACCUCGGAUCAGGUAGGAAUACCCGCUGAACUUAAGCAUAUCAAUAAGCGGAGGAA
This 575-nucleotide ribosomal RNA is filed under the name Colletotrichum gloeosporioides. Its description in RNAcentral is "eukaryotic LSU rRNA". The stretch from base 203 to 356 matches the Rfam family "5.8S ribosomal RNA". Lineage: Eukaryota; Fungi; Ascomycota; Sordariomycetes; Glomerellales; Glomerellaceae. The record is from RNAcentral.